UGGUCGGGCUGAUUCCAAAUCCACAUUCUUGGCAGCCCGAUAACAAAAAAGGAGGGUAAAACCAAACUCCGGGAGACUCCCGGUGCGGCAUUGUGGAGACAUGCCGUAAUGCGUUCGCCAAGCCCGGCGUUCGCGAGAAUGUGCGCGCGGAGGCGGCACAGUCAGGGUCAGUCAGUAUGGCA
Molecule: non-coding RNA, 182 nt
Filed under: unclassified sequences
Description: malK-I RNA
Rfam family: malK-I RNA
Source: RNAcentral